CUGUCCAUGAAGUGCUUACCCUGCCCGGCUAUCUCACAGAACCAUUUGAUGCAACUUGCCACAUGCUGUGCCUAAGUAUGUGCUUAGUCUAUCAUGAAAUUACAAGAGCGUCAGCAAGCGUCAAGUCGGAUUGUGGUUCAUCAUCACGGCUACAACAAAGCCUGCUCACCCAGUUCGUAACAGCGGAUAUAAACAGAGGCAAAGGCUCGCGGAAUUCUAUGAUCACACGGUGAAAACUUUCAUUGCAUUAUUUUACUGACUUUUUUGAUUUACCAAAGGGCUUAUCACAGAUACCACCUUCAUUACACAGAGCAGGAUCCACAGUAUUGCCUUCACAGGAUAUAACCUUUAUCAGAUGGACACUUCCAGGACAAGAACAUGAGGUUAAAAAAUGCAUUUUGGAAUGCCCUAUUUCAUUUGAACAAAAAAUUGUCCCUUUAAGCUCCCAUAGUUUUGCAUGGUUUGUUCUGUGAGGUGUGAUAUUGCCUUAUUUGUGGAGGGAACCAUAUCUCUCAUCAUUUAGCAACUAUGAAUCCUGUAAAGCUCUAAUAACCAUCAGUAGUAAUUCAGAAAUAUGCCUGAAAAAGCUAGGGAUGGCUGUAACAGCUGCUCCACAUAGCUAAAUGUGUGUGUUUGGGAGGGGUGUGGAUAUUUGAAAAUAUUGCCUCAUUUACCACUAUUAUUGUGCAAACGCAAAUUGAAGCAUUUCUACAACUGACCUGUUCCUACAAUUUGCUCAUAAUCACAUAGAAGAAAAUACGGCAUAAAGAAGACAUUUCAAUUACAGCUGUUAGACUGUGGAUUUCACUAAUCACCCCUGGAUUUUUAUAUCCCAAGAAUUCAAUGACGAGGAAUAAUAGCAAUCAUGAAAGAUUAAGAAAAGUGCGACAUAUUUCUGUAACCUGUCCUACAAAGAGCACAAUGUUACCUUCAAUCUGAGCUAUUAUUUGACUUUUAGAAAUAUAUAUUAUAAUUGCUGUGAUUAAUUCACAUUAGGGUAACACAAUAUGUUGUAUGCUUUCAAAUCCAUGAGUAAAA
Molecule: long non-coding RNA, 1038 nt
Organism: Bombina bombina (fire-bellied toad)
Lineage: Eukaryota; Metazoa; Chordata; Amphibia; Anura; Bombinatoridae
Exons: 4
Source: RefSeq, a predicted model, not a curated record